Molecule: long non-coding RNA, 234 nt
Organism: Ornithodoros turicata
Lineage: Eukaryota; Metazoa; Arthropoda; Arachnida; Ixodida; Argasidae
Exons: 3
Source: RefSeq, a predicted model, not a curated record
CAGAGUCUCGUUCACCCGUUCGGUUGCUCACUCCUUCCCUUGCCUUGCCUUGCCGAGCACAUCAGCUCUCACCGCUGGAUAACAUCAAUUAUGGCCGAAAGCCAAAUGAGCGCGAUGAGUGGGAUGAGCUCCAUGUCUGGCAUGUCCGGCAUGUCUGGUAUGUCUGGGACGGAAAGCAUAGGACAGGACAAAGGCGGUAAUUGACAUUUCCUGUUAUUCGGUUCGCUCGGUUGU